GAGUUUGAUCAUGGCUCAGAUUGAACGCUGGCGGCAUGCCUUACACAUGCAAGUCGAACGGUAACAGGUCUUCGGAUGCUGACGAGUGGCGAACGGGUGAGUAAUACAUCGGAACGUGCCCGAUCGUGGGGGAUAACGGAGCGAAAGCUUUGCUAAUACCGCAUACGAUCUACGGAUGAAAGCAGGGGACCGCAAGGCCUUGCGCGGACGGAGCGGCCGAUGGCAGAUUAGGUAGUUGGUGGGAUAAAAGCUUACCAAGCCGACGAUCUGUAGCUGGUCUGAGAGGACGACCAGCCACACUGGGACUGAGACACGGCCCAGACUCCUACGGGAGGCAGCAGUGGGGAAUUUUGGACAAUGGGCGAAAGCCUGAUCCAGCCAUGCCGCGUGCAGGAUGAAGGCC
This 403-nucleotide ribosomal RNA is filed under the name uncultured microorganism. Its description in RNAcentral is "bacterial SSU rRNA". It matches the Rfam family "Bacterial small subunit ribosomal RNA", at positions 9 to 416 of the family's 1533-position model. The record is from RNAcentral.